GAUGAACGCUGGCGGCGUGCCUAAUACAUGCAAGUCGAGCGAACAGACGAUUACGUUGCUCCUCGGACGUUGGCGGCGGACGGGUCAGUAACACGUUGAUAACCUACCUAUGAGACUGGCAUGACUUCGGGAAACCGGAGCUAAUACCGGAUAAUAUAUUGAACCUCAGGGGUCAAUAGUUAAAGACGUUUUUUCUGUCACUGAUAGAUCGAUCCGCGCCGCAUUAGCUAGUUUGUAAGGUAACGGCUUACCAAGGCGACGAUGCGUAACCGACCUGAGAGGGUGAACGGGCACACUGGAACUGGGAGACGGUAUAGAGUCAUAGGGAAGGCCGAAGUACGGAAUCUUGAGAAAUGUGCGGAAGAUUGACGGAGGAACGCAGAGUGAGUGAUGAAGCGCUUCGGAUCGUAUAACUGUGUUAUUAGGGAAGAACAAAUGUGUAAGUAACUAUGCACGUCUUGACGGUACCUAAUGAGAAAGCAACGGCUAACUACGUG
RNAcentral lists this ribosomal RNA (497 nucleotides) under uncultured bacterium. RNAcentral's name for it is "partial 16S ribosomal RNA". It matches the Rfam family "Bacterial small subunit ribosomal RNA", at positions 28 to 507 of the family's 1533-position model. The record is from RNAcentral.